GACGAACGCUGGCGGCGUGCCUAAUACAUGCAAGUCGAACGAGAGCGACCGGUGCUUGCACUGGUCAAUCUAGUGGCGAACGGGUGAGUAACACGUGGGUAACCUGCCCAUCAGAGGGGGAUAACAUCCGGAAACGGAUGCUAAAACCGCAUAGGUCUUCGAGCCGCAUGGCUUGAAGAGGAAAAGAGGCGCAAGCUUCUGCUGAUGGAUGGACCCGCGGUGCAUUAGCUAGUUGGUGAGGUAACGGCUCACCAAGGCCGUGAUGCAUAGCCGACCUGAGAGGGUGAUCGGCCACAUUGGGACUGAGACACGGCCCAAACUCCUACGGGAGGCAGCAGUAGGGAAUCUUCCGCAAUGGACGCAAGUCUGACGGAGCAACGCCGCGUGAGUGAAGAAGGUUUUCGGAUCGUAAAACUCUGUUGUUAGAGAAGAACAAGUGCUAGAGUAACUGUUAGCGCCUUGACGGUAUCCAACCAGAAAGCCACGGCUAACUACGUG
Molecule: ribosomal RNA, 498 nt
Filed under: uncultured bacterium
Lineage: Bacteria
Description: partial 16S ribosomal RNA
Rfam family: Bacterial small subunit ribosomal RNA
Source: RNAcentral